This 508-nucleotide ribosomal RNA is filed under the name uncultured glomeraceous AM fungus. RNAcentral's name for it is "SSU rRNA". It matches the Rfam family "Eukaryotic small subunit ribosomal RNA", at positions 569 to 1078 of the family's 1831-position model. Lineage: Eukaryota; Fungi; Glomeromycota; Glomeromycetes; Glomerales; Glomeraceae. The record is from RNAcentral.
AGCAGCCGCGGUAAUUCCAGCUCCAAUAGCGUAUAUUAAAGUUGUUGCAGUUAAAAAGCUCGUAGUUGAAUUUCGGGGUUAGUAGAUUGGUCAUGCCUCUGGUAUGUACUGGUCUCACUGAUUCCUCCUUCCUGAUGAACCUUAAUGCCAUUAAUUUGGUGUUUUGGGGAAUUUGGACUGUUACUUUGAAAAAAUUAGAGUGUUUAAAGCAAGCUAACGCUUGAAUACAUUAGCAUGGAAUAAUGAAGUAGGACGUUCGAUCCUAUUUUGUUGGUUUCUAGGAUUGACGUAAUGAUUAAUAGGGAUAGUUGGGGGCAUUAGUAUUCAAUUGUCAGAGGUGAAAUUCUUGGAUUUAUUGAAGACUAACUACUGCGAAAGCAUUUGCCAAGGAUGUUUUCAUUAAUCAAGAACGAAAGUUAGGGGAUCGAAGACGAUCAGAUACCGUCGUAGUCUUAACCAUAAACUAUGCCGACUAGGGAUCGGAUGAUGUUAAUUUUUUAAUGACUCA